ACAAACUUGGUCAUUUAGAGGAAGUAAAAGUCGUAACAAGGUAUCCGUAGGUGAACCUGCGGAUGGAUCAUUCAUAUGUGAAAUGGCCCAAGUGGUCAUUUUUGUUAUGUGCAAUGUAAUAUGAUUGUGUGUCGCUCUAUUGUGAGCGACAUGCAUCUUUUUUACCCAUUAUCAAUCCUAUUCUAUCUUAUUUGAACAAAGAACCUUGAAAACUGCCAGCAAUGGAUCCCUCGGUUCUCGCAUCGAUGAAGAACGCAGC
RNAcentral lists this unclassified non-coding RNA (259 nucleotides) under uncultured fungus. RNAcentral's name for it is "partial contains small subunit ribosomal RNA, internal transcribed spacer 1, and 5.8S ribosomal RNA". The stretch from base 1 to 73 matches the Rfam family "Eukaryotic small subunit ribosomal RNA", at positions 1759 to 1831 of the family's 1831-position model. The record is from RNAcentral. Lineage: Eukaryota; Fungi.